Patella vulgata (common limpet) is the source of this 3933-nucleotide long non-coding RNA. RefSeq lists it as uncharacterized. NCBI's taxonomy places the organism in Eukaryota, Metazoa, Mollusca, Gastropoda, Patellidae. The record is from RefSeq and is a predicted model, not a curated record. The transcript has 6 exons.
CAUGAUUUUACGCGUCGACAAUUCGCGACACCUCGUUUAAUAAAUAUUAUCGCGGGGUGAUAGAUAUUAACUUUAUGUUUACCACAUUGUCUCUUAAAUGUAAAUACCUUGAAAACAAGUUCAGCUUGAUGUUUUAAAUUAAAUACAGCUGCUUUGUUUAUUAACGUCAUUUAAUACUAUUUCUAGACCAAUUUAAGCUAAUUUCUGCUAAUAUGUACGUUCUGCUCGUGUUGUUGCUGGUACUCCAGGUUGUGACCUGUGCUGUAAUAACAAAUUCACAAGAGCAGCCAUGCAAUAUGGGAGCUGCAUGUAGUCAAAGCAAUUCUGUAAGCUACGUGAACAAUGUACGUUAUUGCUGUCCGAGUGGUAAUGGAAUCAGCGUGUCCUCGAGAUCAUCUGGGAUGUACAACAGUGGGCAGACCUAUACUACAUGCACAUGUCACUCUGAACGGCACUGUGAUGAAGGAGAUGUUUGUCGUAAUAGCAGUUCUGUAGGCUACGUCAAUGGUGUACGAUAUUGCUGUCCGAAUGGUGGUGGAUCAAGCAUGUCCUCGGUGUACAACAAUGGACAGGCCUAUACCCGAUGCAUAUGUCAUUCUGGCACAACAAUUGCAUCCACAGGAAAUUUUGACUGGAAUGCCCAUAACAAGAAAAUGCGGAAGUUUAAUAGGGAACUAAAGCGAAGGCUGUCUCAAAUGAAUAAGCAACUUAACCAAAGAAUGCAACAAGCUGAUCGGCAACUCAAGCGAGAAAUGCAGCAACUGUCUUCGCGACUGAAUAAUAUGUUUCGUAGAAACUCCUUCUUUGGUCGUUAAAGAGACAAGUUCAAGUUUCUCAAUGUUUAAAGUCUCAAUACCACUCUUGUUGUAACUGAAUAAUAUGUCCCAAUCUUUAUUCUGGUCAACAAAUUUUACUAUUUUACAAUAUUCCAAUUAAUUGAUGAUACAAAUUUCAUCUUAACACACCUAAUUUAAAAAAUUGGAAAAAUUCAACUAAAUGAUUUGAAAAGCCUAACGUAAAGCUUUUCAAAUGUGACUUGGAUUUAAAAAUAUUUUCGAACCCUCUGGACAAGUAAAAUAGGAUUUAAUGGAUAAUUUACACAACAGGUAGGAUACUUAAACAUCUAAUACUUAGAAUAAGGCUAUUAUUUAUUUUCUGCAGCUGUCAAGCCAGCAAGAGUGUUAUUGUCCCUUUAAAAAUACAUUAUUAUUAUGUAACAUGUAUCUGAUUAUAAAGGUAAAGUCGAGAUAAUAGAAAGAGAACUGAAGUAUAAGAAUAAAAUUGCUAAUAUCCAAUAUCCCAAUUUUGUUUAAUGUAUCGUCUAAUAAGUGUACUCCACUCACUAGUAAACGAACUUUUCUAUUGGUAGAAAUGAAAUGAAAUGGGGUUUAACGUUCUACUAUUCUGCUCCGAACUGGGCUAAUGAAGACGGGCAUACGCCAUACAGUGUGCUAUAAGGACAAUUUUGCCCGGACAGCGGCACUACGGCCUACUCUUAUAUCGAAUUCCAUCUGUCAAGGGAUCUUUUACGUGCACGUCAAUGUGUACAAUGUAGACAGCUGCCCUUGUCAGACCCUCCGUCCUGCAUCACUGACAAGGGGGGAAUCACGUCGGAAAAUCUGGAUGAACUCUCUCGGCCAAUGCAGGGAUCGAACACCCGACCUCCAGGCUAGCGAACCAGCGUCUUACCCAUUUAACCACCGUGACCCCCUGUAUUGGUAGACCAUGAAUUGAUUGCCCUUUGGGUUCCAAGGUACAGUACAUGCGAUCGGUCACAUUUAGUUAAUACAAAGCACCAACUACUGUGCGUUAGAUCACAAGGUCUGUCAGUGGUGUGGUUUCGAUGACAAAUAGUGGGGUCGCCUGUCUAACCUCGUGGGUACGCGCAAACCAAUUAUUGAAAUCCAAUAGGACCAUUAUGUUAGUUCCGAAAUGGCCUAGUAUGGAAGUUAAACCCCCAUUUCUCUUUUUAAAACAUUAUCGUUUCUAUACAUUAAAGCAUGUUCAUUUGAAAUGUAUGAAAUUAGAUAUUAUAUAGAUCUAAUCUAUGUAUUUCUGAUUAGUCAUAACCAGGUCAUUAAUAUUGUAAACAACCGGACGCGGUUUAAUAACAUGCAAUUAUCUCAACUUCCUUCUAUUGAAUUUUAAACGCAUUUAACCAAAUAUGUCCCGAAUAUUCUAGUGCAUUCUAGUAUUACAGAUUUAAAGAGAUUUAUAGAAUAUUUAUUACAAGUCAAUCCAUAGCUUUGCAGUAUCUCUAUAUUUUGUCCAGCUUGUGCUCUGGAGAAAAGAGGUUUAUGAAAUCCAUAAUUGAUUACACAUUAAAACCUUAAGGUAACGACGCGUGAGUUUCGUUUUUUUCGGAAAAUAUCAAUUUUCUACGCUAAUAUGUACUCAAAUUAAUAAUUUAACUAAGAACACAAAUUCAGAAUACCAACGCUAGAUAAUCUUCCGGAUUGGAUUCAAUUGGAUUUAAAACAGGCCCAUCAACUGGUUUACAGCAAAUAAAGAUGGUGGCUGUUUUUUUACACGUUGAGAAGAAUGUUCAAUUCGUCAUAUCUCUGUAAACGUUGUACGGAAUUGAUCCAUUUUUGGAUUGAUCUCCCUAUUAGAGUUUCAACUUACACAAUAUUAGAGAGAUAAAAUCUAGCAUAAAGUCUUUAAUAAUUGUCCAUUUACAAAAGUUCAUUAAAGAAAUGAAAUGAAAUGAAAUGGGGUUUAACGUCCUACUGUUCUGCUCCUAACCUGGGGUAAUGAAGACGGGCAUACGCCAUACAGUGUGCUAUGAGGGAAAUUUUCCCCGGGCAGCGGCGCUACGGCCUACUCUUAUAUCGAAUUCCAACUGCCAAGGGAUCUUUUACGUGCACGCCAAUGUGUACACGGGACCUCGGUUUUUCGUUCCAUCCGAACGACUAGACAGCUGUCCUUGUCAGGCCCUCCAUCCUGCAUCACAGACAAGGGGAACCACGCCGGAAAAUCUGAAUGAACUUUCUCUGGCAAUGCAGGGAUCGAACACCCGACCUCCAGGCUAGUGAGUCAUCGUCUUACCCACUUAGCCACGUGAUCCCCAAGUUUCUUUAAGAUAGAUUUUGUUAAUUGUGUAAAACAUAAGCACUUUGUUCAAAAGUUCGAGUGGGAUGGUUGCUAAUAAUCAAAGAAAAAAAACCAACCUCUUUAAACAAAGGAAUUCUCCCAAAACGAUGAGUUCUCUGUUAACUGCUUUUGUCACGUGUGUUCUCUAGACAUUAUAAUAUAAGUAUACCGAUUAGGGAAGUAAUACUAGUGUAGAAUAGUCGAGAUUGCUGAACUGCUGUGUAUCUUGAAUUGAAUCAUGCGGGCUUUAGUACUGUUGUUUCUCAUAGACUGCGCUGUAGCUGCAACAAUUCGACCUAUUCAAGCUGUUACAACACAGAGAGCAGACCAACGCUGUAGCAGUGGGGAUGACUGUGAACAUGUAUAUUUUAUAAGCUACAUAAACAAUGUACCAUACUGCUGUCCACAUGGAAAUGGAAUUAUGAGGUCUGCUUCUAACUAUGUAAAUGGUCAAGAAAUCAUCGAAUGUUUCUGCAACACAGAGGAAGUGCAUCAACCAGAUAGACAUGAUAGACAUUAUUAUGACCAUGGACACCACUGGAGACACUGGCGUGACAGGUGGCUGUCGUUGGAUAGGUAUAUCAGAGACAGGAUAGUAGACGUAGGCAACUUAUUUCGUGAACGUCCAUUUACUGGUUGGUCGAAGUAAUUAUUGAAAGUCCAUUUGGGAUUAUGGUGACACACUAUUUGUUUAAAAUUGUCAUACCUUCAAAGAAACAAUUUUGAAGCAUUGUUUAAAAUAAAACUUUAAAUUUUUUUAUCCAAGUGACAUGCGUUAAUUAUAUGAUAUACACGGUUAUAUUUGCAGCGCUUUAAAAUAAAUAAUUGUCUUUGCAUCGA